RNAcentral lists this long non-coding RNA (536 nucleotides) under Elaeis guineensis (African oil palm). RNAcentral's name for it is "long non-coding RNA (EGUI_LNC072720)". Lineage: Eukaryota; Viridiplantae; Streptophyta; Magnoliopsida; Arecales; Arecaceae. The record is from RNAcentral.
CUGUACCACGAUCCACCAUGGAUCGAGCGUGGGUAUUUCCAAUGCGUUUCUCAUAGUUCACGGUACUAUUCCAUGGACCGAUCGCGAUCGGACGGCUUAGAAAGUUUCCAGUCUUGAUCCGACGGUUCAGAGGCUUGAUUUGGCUUGUUUAGGAGAUCUAAAUCUAAUCUAAUUAGGUUUAAACCUUGUUCAAGGCCUUUAAAAGGCCUAUGCCUCAACAGAGAGGCGCGGGUGAUUCGGUUUUUUGCAGAGGACGCCGUGUGGAACUCGAGAAGGGAAGGAGAGAGGCGUGAGGCCGCUGAGAGAGAAGGAGCAGAGCUCCUAGACAGCAGAUGCCGGUCACUUCAGGGGUUCAGGAGUCUUCCAAAAGAGAGAGAGCUUUUGAGAGAAGAACUUCAGGUGAGAGAAAAAUUGGGUAUACAAAGGUUGAGGGUGAGGUUUCCUCUUGUAAAAUUUUUUUUCAUAGUGAAGUUUGCAUGCCCUAUGGAGGCAAGCCCUUUUGUGGCUGAUCCACGUAUUUUGAUUGUUUUAUUUUA